RNAcentral lists this ribosomal RNA (1048 nucleotides) under Polyporales sp. 3 SR-2012. RNAcentral's name for it is "eukaryotic LSU rRNA". The stretch from base 760 to 1048 matches the Rfam family "Eukaryotic large subunit ribosomal RNA", at positions 1 to 284 of the family's 3401-position model. The record is from RNAcentral. Lineage: Eukaryota; Fungi; Basidiomycota; Agaricomycetes; Polyporales.
UUAAAGGUCUGCCCUUUGUACACACCGCCCGUCGCUACUACCGAUUGAAUGGUUUAGUGAGGUCUUGAGAUUGGCUUCGGGGAGCCGGCAACGGCACCUUGUUGCUGAGAACUUGAUCAAACUUGGUCAUUUAGAGGAAGUAAAAGUCGUAACAAGGUUUCCGUAGGUGAACCUGCGGAAGGAUCAUUAAUGAAUUUUGAAAGGGGUUGUAGCUGGUCUUUUCCGAGACAUGUGCACGCCCUGCUCAUCCAUUCUACCCCUGUGCACACUCUGUAGGUCGGUUUUGAAGUGAUUCCUCACGGAAUUGCUCGGGCCUUCCUAUGUUUUCAUAUAAACACUUUAAAGUCAAAGAAUGUAAUCGCGUGUAACGCAUUUAAUACAACUUUCAGCAACGGAUCUCUUGGCUCUCGCAUCGAUGAAGAACGCAGCGAAAUGCGAUAAGUAAUGUGAAUUGCAGAAUUCAGUGAAUCAUCGAAUCUUUGAACGCACCUUGCGCUCCUUGGUAUUCCGAGGAGCAUGCCUGUUUGAGUGUCAUGGAAUUCUCAACCCUCUUAUCUUUGUUAUGAGAUGGGCUUGGACUUGGAGGUUAUUGCCGGCUUGUCAUGAGUCUGGCUCCUCUUGAAUUCAUUAGCUUGAACCCUUGUGGAUCGGCUACUCGGUGUGAUAAUUGUCUACGCCGUGUGCUGUGAAGCUUUCAAACACUUUGUUGUGUUGAGGGAUUUGCUUCUAAUCGUCCUUCAAUGGACAAUUUUUGACCUCUGACCUCAAAUCAGGUAGGAUUACCCGCUGAACUUAAGCAUAUCAAUAAGCGGAGGAAAAGAAACUAACAAGGAUUCCCCUAGUAACUGCGAGUGAAGCGGGAAAAGCUCAAAUUUAAAAUCUGGCGGCUUUUGGCUGUCCGAGUUGUAGUCUGGAGAAGUGCUUUCCGCGCUGGACCGUGUACAAGUCUCUUGGAACAGAGCGUCAUAGAGGGUGAGAAUCCCGUCUUUGACACGGACUACCAGUGCUUUGUGAUGCGCUCUCAAAGAGUCGAGUUGUUGGGAAUGCA